AUUGCCCAAUCUUGUUUAUUC
This 21-nucleotide microRNA is filed under the name Ananas comosus (pineapple). RNAcentral's name for it is "microRNA s1019_c129a". The record is from RNAcentral. Lineage: Eukaryota; Viridiplantae; Streptophyta; Magnoliopsida; Poales; Bromeliaceae.